This 1366-nucleotide long non-coding RNA is filed under the name Salmo salar (Atlantic salmon). RNAcentral describes it as "lncRNA (ENSSSAG00000110986.1)". Lineage: Eukaryota; Metazoa; Chordata; Actinopteri; Salmoniformes; Salmonidae. The record is from RNAcentral.
AACAUUAUCAACCUAUACAACUAAACACAACAUUAUCAACCUGCUACAACAUUAUCAACCUAUACAACUAAACACAACAUUACCAACCUGCUAAAACUCAACACAACAUUACCAACCUGCUACAACUAAAUACAACAUUAUCAACCUGCUACAACAUUAUCAACCUGUACAACUAAACACAACAUUAUCGACCUGCUACAACUAAACACAACAUUAUCGACCUGCUACAACUAAACACAACAUUACAACCUGCUACAACUAAACACAACAUUAUCGACCUGCUACAACUAAACACAACAUUAUCGACCUGCUACACAGAGAGGAACCAAGCAUAAAUGUCUUUUUCCAUUGAUUGAAAAUAGCUGUCACUGCAGGGGGAUGUUUGUAGCCAUCUUUUCAUUUUAUUUUCUCCUUCAUGUGGGAACAUCUAUAAUAUUAGACCCAUCUCUUUAUUCUCUUGAAUGACCUGUACAGACCAGGGUCUGUACCGACCCCGAGCUGGACUGAGGAGGUUUUAUACAGACCAGGGUCUGUACCGACCCCGAGCUGGACUGAGGAGGUUUUAUACAGACCAGGGUCUGUACCGACCCAGAGCUGGACUGAGGAGGUUUUAUACAGACCAGGGUCUGUGAUCAACCAAGAUGGACUGAGGAGGUUUUAUACAGACCAGGGUCUGUACCGAGCUGGACUGAGGAGGUUUUAUACAGACCAGGAUCUGUACCGACCCAGAACUGGACUGAGGAGGUUUUAUACAGACCAGGGUCUGUAUCGACCCAGAGCUGGACUGAGGAGGUUUUAUACAGACCAGGGUCUGUACCGACCCAGAACUGGACUGAGGAGGUUUUAUACAGACCAGGGUCUGUACCGACCCAGAGCUGGACUGAGGAGGUUUUAUACAGACCAGGGUCUGUACCGACCCAGAGCUGGACUGAGGAGGUUUUAUACAGACCAGGGUCUGUACCGAGCUGGACUGAGGAGGUUUUAUACAGACCAGGGUCUGUAUCAACCCCGAGCUGGACUGAGGAGGUUUUAUACAGACCAGGGUCUGUACCGACCCAGAGCUGGACUGAGGAGGUUUUAUACAGACCAGGGUCUGUAUCGACCCCGAGCUGGACUGAGGAGGUUUUAUACAGACCAGGGUCUGUACCGAGCUGGACUGAGGGGUUUUAUACAGACCAGGGUCUGUACCGAGCUGGACUGAGGAGGUUUUAUACAGACCAGGGUCUGUACCGACCCAGAGCUGGACUGAGGAGGUUUUAUACCUGGUCUGUGUUCAACCAAGAUGGAAGAGGAACGACUCAAACAUCCGAAUCUUAGUGCCAAGGUUACCGUGGAAACAGAGGAGGGGAACUGAUUUGUCUAAGUA